Molecule: ribosomal RNA, 432 nt
Filed under: uncultured bacterium
Lineage: Bacteria
Description: bacterial SSU rRNA
Rfam family: Bacterial small subunit ribosomal RNA
Source: RNAcentral
UGAGGAAUAUUGGUCAAUGGGCGGGAGCCUGAACCAGCCAAGCCGCGUGAGGGAAGAAGGCCCUAUGGGUCGUAAACCUCUUUUGUCAGGGAACAAAAGCGAGUAUGUAUACUAGUCUGAGUGUACCUGAAGAAAGAGCAUCGGCUAACUCCGUGCCAGCAGCCGCGGUAAUACGGAGGAUGCGAGCGUUAUCCGGAUUUAUUGGGUUUAAAGGGUGCGUAGGCGGCGAUGCAAGUCAGCGGUAAAGCCCGGGGCUCAACCCCGGCGAGCCGUUGAAACUGCAGUGCUAGAGAAGGCGAGAGGUACGCGGAAUGCGCAGUGUAGCGGUGAAAUGCUUAGAUAUUGCGCAGAACUCCGAUUGCGAAGGCAGCGUACUGGCGCCUGACUGACGCUGAGGCACGAAAGCGUGGGGAUCGAACAGGAUUAGAUACC